Drosophila novamexicana is the source of this 2150-nucleotide RNA transcript. It is a transcript of the gene named neuronal acetylcholine receptor subunit alpha-2, with no coding region annotated. NCBI's taxonomy places the organism in Eukaryota, Metazoa, Arthropoda, Insecta, Diptera, Drosophilidae. The record is from RefSeq and is a predicted model, not a curated record. The transcript has 5 exons.
CCGAUUUAUCGUUUCGGAUACUUAUUGUUUAACAUAAGCUAGUUGCAUUUUUUUUAAUAUUAAGCGAAAUUCAUAGACUUAAAUUUCUUCUCUUAUAAUAUACUGCCUCAGCAAAUAGAUAUGCAUUUUGGUUUAACUUACAUGCGCGAAAUGUUCAUGGGGAAAAUUAUGUUUUUGAAAUGUUAACUAGUGCUGUUAAACUCAAAAUGGCACUGUGCAGCUUCUUAUCACACUGUUAACACCAAUGAUAAACCGUUGUGAUUUGAAUUUCUCUGAUUGGAAGGAGCUGGAAUGUACGAAUCCAAUUGAAUUGCUAGUCGCCAAGUAUUUUGUGUGGGCGUCUGCGACAUCCACUGUACGUACGCUGGCUACAUACAGUUGACUGCAUAAGUAAGCGCUUGUGUUAUCUUAUAUACUACCGCUCGCCACAACUGUCGAUGCCAGCGACGAGGCUUGCUUUAUCACUGGCUGCAGCCAUGUGCGAAACCCUCGGCUGGCUCUGGAGUCGAUGCUCAGUCGUUAUCCAGAGACCGAUGGGCGCACAUUAAAUUAGAAUAACUGAAAUUCUUAAGCCAAAAACAAAAAAAAAAACGCACACUCUGAACUUGAGAAAUAACAAUGUCGACCAAGAUAAAGACAUUGAUUUCCGGUCGUGGGCUGCUGACGAUCUUGCUGGUAUUCCUGCUCGUUUCCGUGCCAAGCGCCAGUUCCCAAAAGGAUGACGCAGAGGGAAGCGGCUCGAAGGCGGCCAAUAUCAGUGCACUCGAUCGGCUGCAGAUGAAUCUGUUCAUCAACUACGACGUGAACGCCGAGCCCACUAUGCAGGGCAGGCCGACAAACAUAAGUCUGGGCCUCUCGGUGAACUAUAUAGAUAUCGAUGAGCUGAACGGCAAGAUCACGCUCCACUGCUGGCUGAGCGUCCGCUGGCAGGAUGAUGACCGCUCCUGGAAUAUACUGCAGUACGACAACAUUACCAAGCUGCAUAUACCGGACCAUAAGGUGUGGAAGCCGCAGAUAACGCUCUUCAAUGCCGCCGCCGAUGAGGUCAACUAUCUGGUUAGCACCCAGGUGAUACUGUCCAACGAUGGCAGCUUCCUCUGGGUACCGCCGGCUGUCUAUACGGCCUAUUGCAAUCUGAAUAUGAUUAAUUGGCCAUACGAUGAGCAGACGUGCAAGCUGAAGAUUGGCACCUGGUCGCUGAGCCACCUUCAGGCAGAAUAUAAUGCGCAUAACAAGAAUGCGCUCGACUAUGAGGAGCUGGUGCAGUCCACGGAGUGGCAAAUUGUUAGUGGCUGGACACAGUUUGUGCAUCAGGACUAUUAUAGCUAUGUGGAGUUCAUAUUUACGGCGCAGCGACGCUCCUCUAUGUACACGGCCGUCAUCUAUACGCCAGCCACGUGCAUUGUGCUUCUGGCGCUGGCCACCUUCUGGCUGCCGCCACAGAUGGGCGAGAAGAUAAUGCUCAAUGGCAUACUUAUCCUAUUGAUUGCCGGCUUUCUCAUGUACUUUGCCCAGCUGCUGCCGGUGCUGGCCGGGAAUACGCCGCUCGUGGUCGUCUUCUACAGCGCCAGCCUGCUGCUGCUUAGCAUAUCCACUGUUAUUGAGGUCGUGGUGCUCUACCUGGCCACGGCCCAGCACAAGCGCCGCGUGCCGGACUUUGUGAAGCGGCUGCUGCACGGCAAAUUGGGCAACUGGCUGCUGCUCUCGCAGUUCAUCAACGUGACUGAGUUGCCCGCCUCGCAGCAGGGCAAUGGCAUUGCCAAGGAACUGGAUGAGCACGUGUAUGAUAAUGCCGAUGAUCUGAUGACCAGUCCGUUGGACAUCAAUCCCAGCGAAGCGCCGUCGGCGCGCGCCCUUCAGUUCGACUGGGUGCUGCUGGCCACCGCCGUGGAUCGACUAUGUUUCAUUGGCUUCAGCCUGGUCUAUAUUGUGCUGGCCAUCGUUUAUGCCAUCUAAUAUUAUGUGUACUCCAUCGAAUUUUAUUAAAUACAUACCGUUUUGUUCUUAACAUUUGUAAGCACCUUCUCGAAUCAAGCUUAAUUGCGUCAAAAUUAAUGCCAAAUCAGAACGUACCAUAAAAACGGUUGCACAUCAAAAUUUCAAAAGCAAAAAGGAAUGCUAGUCAAUGAACCUAACCUCAAACCGGAAUC